GACGAACGCUGGCGGCGUGCUUAACACAUGCAAGUCGAACGGAAAGGCCCUUCGGGGUACUCGAGUGGCGAACGGGUGAGUAACACGUGGGUGAUCUGCCCUGCACUUUGGGAUAGGCCUGGGAAACUGGGUCUAAUACCGAAUAGGACCACGCGCUUCAUGGUGUGUGGUGGAAAGCUUUUGCGGUGUGGGAUGGGCCCGCGGCCUAUCAGCUUGUUGGUGGGGUAAUGGCCUACCAAGGCGACGACGGGUAGCCGGCCUGAGAGGGUGACCGGCCACACUGGGACUGAGAUACGGCCCAGACUCCUACGGGAGGCAGCAGUGGGGAAUAUUGCACAAUGGGCGCAAGCCUGAUGCAGUGACGCCGCGUGAGGGAUGACGGCCUUCGGGUUGUAAACCUCUUUCAAUAGGGACGAAGCGCAAGUGACGGUACCUAUAGAAGAAGCACCGGCCAACUACGUG
This 462-nucleotide ribosomal RNA is filed under the name uncultured bacterium. Its description in RNAcentral is "partial 16S ribosomal RNA". It matches the Rfam family "Bacterial small subunit ribosomal RNA", at positions 28 to 507 of the family's 1533-position model. The record is from RNAcentral.